UACAGAGGUCUCAAGCGUUGUUCGGAUUCAUUGGGCGUAAAGAGCGUGUAGGCGGCCAGACAAGUCAUGCUGGUGAAAACUCGAGGCUCAACCGUCGAAGCUGUCGGUGGAAACUGUCUGGCUAGAGUCCGGAAGAGGAGAGUGGAAUUCCGUGGUAGUGAGCGGUGAAAUGCGCAGAGUAUCGGGAACGAAGCACCCGUGGGCGAAGGCGCACGUCUGGGACGGUGACGUGACGCUGAAGGAGCGGAAAGCGUAGG
This 257-nucleotide ribosomal RNA is filed under the name uncultured bacterium. RNAcentral describes it as "partial 16S ribosomal RNA". It matches the Rfam family "Bacterial small subunit ribosomal RNA", at positions 524 to 765 of the family's 1533-position model. The record is from RNAcentral.